RNAcentral lists this ribosomal RNA (490 nucleotides) under uncultured bacterium. RNAcentral's name for it is "partial 16S ribosomal RNA". It matches the Rfam family "Bacterial small subunit ribosomal RNA", at positions 30 to 507 of the family's 1533-position model. The record is from RNAcentral.
AUUGAACGCUGGCGGCAGGCCUAACACAUGCAAGUCGAACGGUAACAGGAAGAAGCUUGCUUCUUUGCUGACGAGUGGCGGACGGGUGAGUAAUGUCUGGGAAACUGCCUGAUGGAGGGGGAUAACUACUGGAAACGGUAGCUAAUACCGCAUAACGUCGCAAGACCAAAGAGGGGGACCUUCGGGCCUCUUGCCAUCGGAUGUGCCCAGAUGGGAUUAGCUAGUAGGUGGGGUAACGGCCCACCUAGGCGACGAUCCCUAGCUGGUCUGAGAGGAUGACCAGCCACACUGGAACUGAGACACGGUCCAGACUCCUACGGGAGGCAGCAGUGGGGAAUAUUGCACAAUGGGCGCAAGCCUGAUGCAGCCAUGCCGCGUGUGUGAAGAAGGCCUUCGGGUUGUAAAGUACUUUCAGCGGGGAGGAAGGCAGUAAGGUUAAUACCUUUGCUCAUUGACGUUACCCAAAGAAGAAGCACCGGCUAACUCCGUG